UCUCUCUCUCUUUUUCUCUUCUCUCAAUUUGAUUUGUUUGCUAUUCUAUUCUCUUCUCUCAUUCAUAUGUAGUGAUCUUCUCUAUUUAUAGAUGAUUCUCAUGACCCAAUGAGAGGAGGAUACUUUAUUCAAAUCUGAUUUGAAUUGGUCCAAUACUCAUGAAAGGAGUCCUACAUGAGAUAUAAUUGCCAUCACUUAUGAC
RNAcentral lists this long non-coding RNA (202 nucleotides) under Elaeis guineensis (African oil palm). RNAcentral's name for it is "long non-coding RNA (EGUI_LNC077148)". The record is from RNAcentral. Lineage: Eukaryota; Viridiplantae; Streptophyta; Magnoliopsida; Arecales; Arecaceae.